RNAcentral lists this transfer RNA (75 nucleotides) under Bibersteinia trehalosi. RNAcentral's name for it is "tRNA-Gln". It matches the Rfam family "tRNA". From Rfam's summary of the family: Transfer RNA (tRNA) molecules are approximately 80 nucleotides in length. Their secondary structure includes four short double-helical elements and three loops (D, anti-codon, and T loops). Further hydrogen bonds mediate the characteristic L-shaped molecular structure. tRNAs have two regions of fundamental functional importance: the anti-codon, which is responsible for specific mRNA codon recognition, and the 3' end, to which the tRNAs corresponding amino acid is attached (by aminoacyl-tRNA synthetases). tRNAs cope with the degeneracy of the genetic code in two manners: having more than one tRNA (with a specific anti-codon) for a particular amino acid; and 'wobble' base-pairing, i.e. permitting non-standard base-pairing at the 3rd anti-codon position. RNAcentral also lists the same sequence under 7 other names. Lineage: Bacteria; Pseudomonadati; Pseudomonadota; Gammaproteobacteria; Pasteurellales; Pasteurellaceae. The record is from RNAcentral.
UGGGGUAUCGCCAAGCGGUAAGGCACCGGGUUUUGAUCCCGGCAUUCCUAGGUUCGAAUCCUAGUACCCCAGCCA